UUACUUCUUCUUUGUUAGGUCAGAAAUUUUUGGUGACACAAUCGUCGCGCCGCAGCUUCGUCUCCAACCAGAGGUCGGAUAAGAUCCCAUAUUUUGUAGAAAUUGUAUGUGUUUGAAAGGUUUGAAGCUAAGUAUAAGAUUGGUGCUUGCUUUGCUCGCCAUUGCUUGUGGAACUCGACGAGUGUCUUGGUUCCUUCUGCGGAGUUUUCUAGCUUAUCUAGCAAACCCAUGAUUUUCUUCUUUCCUCUACUCGAAAGUUUAUUGAUUUUGUUGCUUACAUACACCUUUUGGGCUAUGAGGUUAAUUUCAUGCUUUCUGUGGUCUGUGGAAUGGGUCUUUCUUAAUUAUCUCACUGGGCGUUUUGCUUUACUCUUAUGUUUAACUGAGUUUAGUGGAGAAAUAUUCAUAAAAGGCUAUUAUUGAUGUUCAUAAAAUGCAUUCAUAAAAGGCUAGUUUUUGUUAAUUCUUGUUUGAUGUUCUUUUGUUAGGUUCUGAGUCAGCUGCUGGUGAAGAAACUGAUGCUCUUGAGUCCCAAACUGCUGCCGUACUAAUAACCGUGG
Camelina sativa (false flax) is the source of this 560-nucleotide non-coding RNA. The record is from RefSeq and is a predicted model, not a curated record. NCBI's taxonomy places the organism in Eukaryota, Viridiplantae, Streptophyta, Magnoliopsida, Brassicales, Brassicaceae.